UACGGAGGGGGCAAGCGUUAUCCGGAAUUAUUGGGCAUAAAGCGUCCGUAGGUGGCAAUUCAAGUCUGCUGUCAAAGCAUGGAGCUUAACUCCAUAGAGGCAGUGGAAACUGAAUAGCUAGAGUUCGGUAGGGGUAGCGGGAAUUCCCAGUGUAGCGGUGAAAUGCGUAGAGAUUGGGAAGAACAUCGGUGGCGAAAGCGCGCUACUGGGCCGAAACUGACACUGAGGGACGAAAGCUAGGGGAGCGAAAGGG
Molecule: ribosomal RNA, 253 nt
Filed under: uncultured bacterium
Lineage: Bacteria
Description: partial 16S ribosomal RNA
Rfam family: Bacterial small subunit ribosomal RNA
Source: RNAcentral